Molecule: long non-coding RNA, 214 nt
Filed under: Capsicum annuum
Lineage: Eukaryota; Viridiplantae; Streptophyta; Magnoliopsida; Solanales; Solanaceae
Description: long non-coding RNA (CANN_LNC005225)
Source: RNAcentral
AGCAGUGCAAUUAAAGAAUAAUCUUUUGCCUCUUGGUCAAAAGUUUUCAAUUUCAACAGUACAACAUCUGUAUAAACUAAGUUUUGUCCACGAGGCAAGAGUUGCAUAUAUGUUAAUAAUCUAAGUAGUGCAAUUAAAGAAUAACAUUUUGCCUCUUAGGCAAAAGUUUUUAAUUUCAACAGUAUAGCCUUUGUACCUGUUCUAAAUUAAGUCU